This 355-nucleotide long non-coding RNA is filed under the name Nicotiana tabacum (common tobacco). RNAcentral describes it as "long non-coding RNA (NTAB_LNC005149)". The record is from RNAcentral. Lineage: Eukaryota; Viridiplantae; Streptophyta; Magnoliopsida; Solanales; Solanaceae.
UGGUAGAGGUACAACUGGAGCUAUAGGUGGUGGAGGUACAACUGGAGCUGUAGGUGGUGGAGCUACAACUGGAGCUGUAGGUGGUGGAGCUGGAGUGACUGAAUCUCCAAAAGAUGAAACUGGUAGUACCUCGGAAAUAUCUAAGUGAUGACCUGAACCUGUGAAGUAUGAUUGGGUUUCAAAGAAGGUAACAUCAGCGGACAUAAGGUACCGCUGGAGGUCAGGAGAGUAGCAUCGAUACCCCUUUUGUGUUCUCGAGAAACCCAGAAAUACGCACUUAAGAGCACGAGGAGCUAACUUAUCUGUUCCUGGAGUAAGGUUAUGGACAAAACAAGUGCUUCCAAAGAUACGGGGU